GGGCGAAUGGUUUAGUGGUAUAAUACUCCCUUAGCAUCGUAUAUCAGCCUGGGAGUGGUCCAGGGUUCGAUUCCCUGUUCGUCCA
Molecule: non-coding RNA, 85 nt
Organism: Claviceps capensis
Lineage: Eukaryota; Fungi; Ascomycota; Sordariomycetes; Hypocreales; Clavicipitaceae
Source: the annotation of a GenBank genome assembly